GGAAUAUUGGACAAUGGGCGGGAGCCUGAUCCAGCCAUCCCGCGUGCAGGACGAAGGCCCUCCGGGUCGUAAACUGCUUUUGCAGGGGGAGAAACGCCCGGGCUUGCCCCGGGCCUGACGGUCCCCUGCGAAGAAGCACCGGCUAACUCCGUGCCAGCAGCCGCGGUAAUACGGGGGGUGCGAGCGUUAUCCGGAAUCACUGGGUUUAAAGUGUGCGUAGGCGGCCCGUUAAGUCAGGGGUGAAAUCCCACCGCCCAACGGUGGAACUGCCCUUGAUACUGGCGGGCUCGGAUGGGCGCGAGGCGGGCGGAACGCGGCAUGUAGCGGUGAAAUGCUUAGAUAUGCCGCAGAACACCGAUUGCGUAGGCAGCUUGCCAGAGCCCUUAUCGACGCUGAGGCACGAAAGCGUGGGGAGCGAAC
RNAcentral lists this ribosomal RNA (420 nucleotides) under uncultured bacterium. RNAcentral describes it as "bacterial SSU rRNA". It matches the Rfam family "Bacterial small subunit ribosomal RNA", at positions 358 to 773 of the family's 1533-position model. The record is from RNAcentral.